GAUGAACGCUGGCGGCGUGCCUAAUACAUGCAAGUCGAGCGAACGGACGAGAAGCUUGCUUCUCUGAUGUUAGCGGCGGACGGGUGAGUAACACGUGGAUAACCUACCUAUAAGACUGGGAUAACUUCGGGAAACCGGAGCUAAUACCGGAUGAUAUUUUGAACCGCAUGGUUCAAAAGUGAAAGACGGUCUUGCUGUCACUUAUAGAUGGAUCCGCGCUGCAUUAGCUAGUUGGUAAGGUAACGGCUUACCAAGGAAACGAUGCAUAGCCGAUCUGAGAGGGUGAUCGGCCACACUGGAACUGAGACACGGUCCAGACUCCUACGGGAGGCAGCAGUAGGGAAUCUUCCGCAAAGGGCGAAAGCCUGACGGAGCAACGCCGCGUGAGUGAUGAAGGUCUUCGGAUCGUAAAACUCUGUUAUUAGGGAAGAACAUAUGUGUAAGUAACUGUGCACAUCUUGACGGUACCUAAUCAGAAAGCCACGGCUAACUACGUG
Molecule: ribosomal RNA, 497 nt
Filed under: uncultured bacterium
Lineage: Bacteria
Description: partial 16S ribosomal RNA
Rfam family: Bacterial small subunit ribosomal RNA
Source: RNAcentral